Molecule: long non-coding RNA, 792 nt
Filed under: Sorghum bicolor (sorghum)
Lineage: Eukaryota; Viridiplantae; Streptophyta; Magnoliopsida; Poales; Poaceae
Description: long non-coding RNA (SBIC_LNC012332)
Source: RNAcentral
ACAACACUGAGUUCUGGAGAUUUAUUUUGAAAACUUGCAACACAUGAUGAGUUCCUAGCAUGACAAAAUUCCUAUCACAGUUAUACUUGCUACAACAUAUUUUGCUACUUAUAUUCACAUUGAGUUUGAUCGAGAUGUGUAGACCCUUAGGAGCUUUUCAUGUGGUUAAAUUAAGAUAUUGACUUGCACACAUUUACUACACCAUCCAUCACCAUCAUUAAAAUUGCUAAAAAUAUUAUCACUCACUGUCCCAAGUAUUGUUAUUCUCUCUCUAAAAAGAUUUAAUGCAGAAGAGGCAUGGGUUAUGCAAAAAUAUGCGAGGAAAUAAAAAGGGGCAAGUGCCCGGAACCUUGGAAAAGAAAAAAAAAGAGUGAGACGAGAGGUAAAAAUGGACAAGUGUCCGGAAUAGAAUUAGGGGUACAAAGAUGCCCACUUGAGCGGAAAAAAAUGGACAACUGUCCGACAGUAGAAUUAGGGGUAUCUACUACCAACCUAAAAAAAAUAGCCCAUGUUCUCCCAAAGCAAAGAUCAAAAAGGAGAGAUAGCAAUAUGAGGAGCAAUGAGAAGUAAGUUUUAUUAUCACUUAUACAUUUUUACCAUCACUAUCAUUUACUCCACCACACAUGCACAUCUUGAUUUAAUUAUAUGUUGAGUUCCUUUGGAUCCAUGGCUCGAUUAGACAACAUACGUAUGAGCUGUUUUUCACUCCUAUGAGCUCCACUUAAAUAUUCCAUUAGCUAUAGGUAAGUGACAUUUUGGUAAGGAUCCACAAAUACCACAUAUAGAAAGACU